GGGCUGGGGCUUAGUGGCAGAGUGCUCACCUAGCAUGCGUGAGGCACUGGGUUUGAUCCUCAGCACCACA
Molecule: transfer RNA, 70 nt
Filed under: Marmota monax (woodchuck)
Lineage: Eukaryota; Metazoa; Chordata; Mammalia; Rodentia; Sciuridae
Description: tRNA.Ala
Source: RNAcentral